This 227-nucleotide long non-coding RNA is filed under the name Hordeum vulgare. Its description in RNAcentral is "long non-coding RNA (HVUL_LNC001578)". Lineage: Eukaryota; Viridiplantae; Streptophyta; Magnoliopsida; Poales; Poaceae. The record is from RNAcentral.
AAUGACUCACUUGAAGAAUGCCUCCUUGAGGAACUCCUCCUGAAGAAGUUCAUUUUCCUAGACACAAAAUUUUGAAAUUUUUGGACCACAAAAUUAUGUUAGUAAAACUUUCCAAGAUUGAUAGCAACUAUUCAUAUGGAUGCCUAGAGGAUAUAUCAAGCAUGCCCACUACUUGGAACUCAAAGUAUUAAUCAUGGAAGCUCAUUUUCAGUAGCACCAAGUGUAGG